Molecule: ribosomal RNA, 564 nt
Filed under: Hyaloscyphaceae sp.
Lineage: Eukaryota; Fungi; Ascomycota; Leotiomycetes; Helotiales; Hyaloscyphaceae
Description: eukaryotic LSU rRNA
Rfam family: 5.8S ribosomal RNA (bases 209-362)
Source: RNAcentral
AAAAGUCGUAACAAGGUUUCCGUAGGUGAACCUGCGGAAGGAUCAUUACAGAGAACCUCGCCCUUCUGGGUGAAUCUCCAACCCUAUGUUAUAUUACUUUGUUGCUUUGGCGAGCCGCUAAGGCCACUGGCUUACGCUGGUGAGUGCUCGCCAGAGAACCCUAAAUUCUAAGUUAUUAGUGUUGUCUGAGUACUUUAAAAUAGUUUAAAACUUUCAACAACGGAUCUCUUGGUUCUGGCAUCGAUGAAGAACGCAGCGAAAUGCGAUAAGUAAUGCGAAUUGCAGAAUUCAGCGAGUCAUUGAAUUUUUGAACGCAUAUUGCGCCCUGUGGUAUUCCGCAGGGCAUGCCUGUUCGAGCGUCAGUACAACCCUCAAGCUUAGCUUGGUUUUGAGCCCCGCCAGUGACUCGGCAGGCUUUAAAAUUAGUGGCGGCGCCNUUAGGCUCUUAGCGUAGUAAUACCUCUCGCUAUUGAGACCCUGUGGUAUGCUGGCCAGCAACCCCAACUUUCUAAGUUUGACCUCGGAUCAGGUAGGGAUACCCGCUGAACUUAAGCAUAUCAAUAA